This is a long non-coding RNA of Cygnus atratus (black swan), 2977 nucleotides long. RefSeq lists it as uncharacterized. NCBI's taxonomy places the organism in Eukaryota, Metazoa, Chordata, Aves, Anseriformes, Anatidae. The transcript is spliced from 6 exons. The record is from RefSeq and is a predicted model, not a curated record.
CAAGGACUUCCUUUCUAGAGAUCUCCCUGGGCCUGCCAGGGCAUGUUCAGAAAAAUACAAUUGUAAUAUCACAUCAGCCAGUAUAACAUCUCUCACCAUCUGAAGAUCCUUCAUUUUUGUGAGCUUUUGCUGGUCAAGUUUGGGUUGUCUGUUUUCCUGUGUUUUGCAUUCUUCCACGGGAAGAAAAAAUGUUCUUCCAAGGCUGAUGAAAAGUAACUCACUCUUCUGAAUUUUCAGCGGCAUCUUGUACAUCUACACAGUAGAUAGAAGGCCAGCUUCCUUGCUGAUACUUUGCUGUGAACUUCCCAAAUGAACUUUUAGAUGUCCUCCUUUCUGGCAUUCACGGAGAUGUGACUACAUUUCAUGAGUGAUGGCAAGGAUUACAUCUGAAAAGAUGGAGAGAUUUUGGCAAAUCUGAUGUCCUUUUGAAGCCACUACCCUACAAGGCACACAUGUUGCAUCUAUUACAUCUACAUCUAGGAGCAGCAGACAGUUUACUGAAAUCCAUCCUUCUUUGUCAUUGGCAAUCUCACAGAAAGGAGGCCUAAGCAUGAAAUAUGAAAGGAUUUAGCACAUUACAAGUAGAGAUAAGUUGCUGCCUGAGGAGUAGUUGAUGUGAAGACAUGGGAGCUGCUCAUGAAACGUUUUAUUUGACUGUUGGAGAAUUGUUUGUAGCCUGCUUUUUGUGACUCCUUUACAAAUAAUUUAAACCAGGAUAAUGAUUCUAAUGGAUGAAAAUUAAAUACUGAACGAAAAAGGUUCAGGAAAUAAGAAAUUAUCCUGUUUGUGAACACACAGAUUUGUCCACACAAGAAAUUAAAUGCGAACUGUGUGAGUGCCACUUAACAUCCAUCAGAAGAACAACAGUAGGUGGACAGAAGUGGUCCUCUAAAAGACUCUGUGGACUACUGUAAAUUUAUUUUGUUUCUGAGUGGAGGAACAGCUUCCCAACACCUGCAUAGACAUGCAUCACUGCUGUUCUGUUCUCAUUCUAAUACUGUCAAUGGGUAAUCAACAUCAUCAAGGGGCACUCACAGCAGUGAACCAUUGGGAACUGUCUUGAGGAGUUCCAGUGCAUUCAUCCGGGCAAAAAUCCUGGCCAUUACCAGUGGUGGAAGUCAGAAACGGAGGUGAAAUAUUCCCCCUGUACCCUAGCAUUGCCAGCACCGGAUGGAUGGAUAUGGAAAAAGUCUGCAGCUUUCCAUGCACGGUUGAAGACUAAGCCAAGUGGUACAAUAUGCAGUCUGAGCUUCUGUAUUUUCAGGGUCUGGUAAAGAAUCAUGAAACCAUUUAUUCUGUGCUUCCAUAUAAGACAAUAUUCUGUGGUGAUUCGUCUUGCUGUAGAAGGAUAUCUGCAGAAAAAUUAAACCAGGUAAAACACAGUACAUCAUUUAAGUAGGUCUGAAGCUUAUGAAUAUGCCAAAAUACUGUCAGUUAAAAUUUGUGUGUGAGCUCAUAUCAGCUUUUCAUGGAUACAGGUUAUGGGACAGAGCAGGGCAAGGAGUGUUGAUUUUCUGCUUACACAAACACUAUUAACUUCAAGAGUCUGAGCAGUGUUUCUCAAACAAAGAAUUUAUGACUCCACCCAAGCCUAUGGGAAAAAAAUAAUUAAAGUCACAUUAUUCCUUCCAAAUACUCAGAUUCCAAAUGUUUGGUAGCCAGCUCCCUGUUGUGGUAAUGCUCCCACUUCUGCACAGAAUUUGUAUUCUAGACCUACAUGAAAUUAGUACAUAAAAUGAACUGAGUGAAUGAUUUGUUAGAAGAACUUUUUGUUGUGAAAAUGUAAUGAAUAUUUCAUGAUUCGAAUUCAAAGCAACUAUAAAUUUAAAAUAUCAAGUUUUGCUGUGAUGCAUAAAAACUAUUCAUCAUAACUGUUAAAUACAAACCAUGUUCACUCCUCGUACGAACCAUAAAUAUGACAAGAAGUCCCAGAAAGAAAGUUGCAGUUAUGGCUAAGAAGGAGUCUAUGGAACGAAUACAGUAAAAUUCCUCCCAAAUGUUUUAAAUAACGCUGUCUUUCCUGAGGAUAGAUUACAUUUCAUUGACAUCAAGAUUUGCAAAUCAGUUAGGGACACCAAAACUCAAACACUGCCAUUGCAUCCCCAGGACAAGGUAAUAUUAAACUUCAUUAGAAAAAAAAAUACUAAAAAGCAAAGAAUAUGUCUUACAAAGCCCUGUGCCAAUUUGUUUGCAAGAAUCUCCAAACAUUUUCUCCAAUGACAGUGUGAACACCAGGCCUUACAACACAGCUCCUGGUCUUAAAAAGUCACUUUGGAAAGGACAGAUCUCUUGGUUUCUGAAAGAAUCUUUAGUAGAUCGAAAUGUAGCAUGAAUACCACGGACUGUAUUUCCCCUGAAGUAAACUAUAUGUUGUUGUUUUUGAGAUCUAUGCCAGUGAAAAUAUCUGAAACUUUCUAAGCAUGGUGGUGCAUGGUUUCAUACGAUGGCAGGAGUGAAUUUUAAGCUGGUUGGAUAAAUUUGGCUCAACUGGUUAAUUUAUUUGGUGAUGCUGAGAUCUUACAUUUUCCUCCAGUUCUUACUAUUGAUAUACAGAACUGUGUUUUUUUGAAAGAAGGCCUAUGCAGUAGCUUUUGGUACUUGUCUGAGGUACUAUAAGACAUGGAUUUCAAGAAAAAUUCAGCCCAGGUAAAUUGCCCUAUAACCAAACCCAUAAAAAAAGUAUAUGCAUAAAUUAAAGUAAAUUAAGCUACGUAAAUAACAGAGAUUGCUAACCCUGAUCCACUACGACAGUGGGGUCCAUCCCAUCAGAAAGAGAAGCUCUGCAGGGCAGGCUCUGCAGCACAGUGCCACACUCUGGGUUGUUUUACAGAAAAGGCUCCAACUGUAGCAUCCUUCCAUUCUAAGGAGGGGCGCUACUUGAUCUGGCCAUCAAGACAAUGUAAAAUAUUGGACAAAGAGACAAAAUGCUGUUAUUGCCAUAGGGGUUCAGAGACAUAAUAGAGAUGAGGCUUGUAGG